RNAcentral lists this ribosomal RNA (331 nucleotides) under uncultured bacterium. RNAcentral's name for it is "partial 16S ribosomal RNA". It matches the Rfam family "Bacterial small subunit ribosomal RNA", at positions 338 to 666 of the family's 1533-position model. The record is from RNAcentral.
CCUACGGGAGGCAGCAGUGAGGAAUAUUGGUCAAUGGGCGCGAGCCUGAACCAGCCAAGUAGCGUGAAGGAUGACUGCCCUACGGGUUGUAAACUUCUUUUAUAAAGGAAUAAAGUGAGGCACGUGUGCCUUUUUGUAUGUACUUUAUGAAUAAGGAUCGGCUAACUACGUGCCAGCAGCCGCGGUAAUCAGUAGGGAGCGGACGUUAUCCGGAAUUAUUGGGUGUAAAGGGUGCGUAGACGGGAAUGCAAGUUAGUUGUGAAAUCCCUCGGCUUAAAUGAGGAACUGCAACUAAAACUACAUAUCUUGAGUGCAGGAGAGGUAAGUGGAA